This 65-nucleotide microRNA precursor is filed under the name Bombyx mori (domestic silkworm). RNAcentral describes it as "mir-2774 microRNA precursor family". It matches the Rfam family "mir-2774 microRNA precursor family". The record is from Rfam by way of RNAcentral. Lineage: Eukaryota; Metazoa; Arthropoda; Insecta; Lepidoptera; Bombycidae.
ACAACACCUGGACCGUCGGUCUACCGAGCAAUAUGUAGCUUGGUGGAAGAUCUACCCUUUGUCGU